GUCUUUUUGAUGAUAAUUUAAAGUCAAGCCUGCCCAGUGAUUAAUUUAACGGCCGCGGUAUCUUGACCGUGCAAAGGUAGCAUAAUCAUUAGUUUUUUAAUUGAAAGCUUGUAUGAAUGGUUAAAUGAGAAAAAUUCUGUCUCUAAAUUAUUUUAGUUGAAUUUUAUUUUUAAGUUAAAAAGCUUAAAUUUAAUUAAAAGACGAGAAGACCCUAUAGAGUUUGAUAUAAUUUUGGAUUAUUAAAAUUUGGAAAUUUUAAUUAAUAUUUUAAAUUGUAUUUGGUUGGGGUGAUAGUAAAAUUUAAUAAACUUUUAUUUAAUUAAUCCAUUAAUUUAUGAUUAUUUGAUCCAUUAUUUAUGAUUAAAAGAAAAAAUUACCUUAGGGAUAACAGCGUAAUUUUUUUUGAGAGUUCUAAUCGAUAGGAAAGAUUGCGACCUCGAUGUUGGAUUAAAAUUUAUUUUUGGUGUAGAAGCUAAAAUUAUUGGGUCUGUUCGACCUUUAAAAUUUUACAUGA
This 514-nucleotide ribosomal RNA is filed under the name Oberea sp. IBE JGZ-3744. Its description in RNAcentral is "partial large subunit ribosomal RNA". It matches the Rfam family "Bacterial large subunit ribosomal RNA", at positions 1830 to 2603 of the family's 2925-position model. Lineage: Eukaryota; Metazoa; Arthropoda; Insecta; Coleoptera; Cerambycidae. The record is from RNAcentral.